CUCGCAGUAGAGCAGUGCAGGAUGAGAACCUCUGGUUCGAGCCGAGCGAAGCGAGACGACAACGCGAACGCGUUGCCCGCAGGGUGAGGCCGAAGGCCAAAUCAAUCCAGCACGGCCCACCA
RNAcentral lists this small RNA (122 nucleotides) under Ewingella americana. Its description in RNAcentral is "RtT sRNA". It matches the Rfam family "RtT RNA". Rfam says of the family: This family represents a bacterial cis-regulatory element known as RtT RNA. The record is from RNAcentral. Lineage: Bacteria; Pseudomonadati; Pseudomonadota; Gammaproteobacteria; Enterobacterales; Yersiniaceae.